CACAUGCAAGUCGUGCGAGAAGUUCCUUCGGGAGCGAGUAAAGCGGCGCACGGGUGAGUAACACGUAGGUAACCUGCCCCCCCAGUCUGGAACAACUAGAGGAAACUCUAGCUAAUGCCGGAUGAGACCACGAUCCCUUCGGGGGUUGCGGCCAAAGAUGGCCUCUACUUGUAAGCUAUCGCUGAGGGAUGGGCCUGCGGGCCAUUAGCUUGUUGGUGAGGUAACGGCUCACCAAGGCUGUGAUGGCUAGCUGGUCUGAGAGGAUGACCAGCCACACUGGGACUGAGACACGGCCCAGACUCCUACGGGAGGCAGCAGUGGGGAAUAUUGCGCAAUGGGCGAAAGCCUGACGCAGCGACGCCGCGUGGGUGAUGAAGGCCGUCGGGUCGUAAAGCCCUGUCGCAGGGGAAGAAUAAGCAUCGGUAUAAUACGCCGGUGCCCUGACGGUACCCUGCAAGAAAGCACCGGCUAACUCCGUG
Molecule: ribosomal RNA, 479 nt
Filed under: uncultured bacterium
Lineage: Bacteria
Description: bacterial SSU rRNA
Rfam family: Bacterial small subunit ribosomal RNA
Source: RNAcentral